AAAGAUGAAAAGCACUUUGGAAAGAGAGUUAAACAGUACGUGAAAUUGUUAAAAGGGAAACGAUUGAAGUCAGUCGUGUUCAUUGGAUUCAGCUAGUUCUUCUAGUCUACUUCUUUUGAACGGGUCAACAUCAGUUUUGUCCGGUGGAUAAAGGUAUUAGGAAUGUGACUUCCUCGGAAGUGUUAUAGCCUAGUAUCACAUACACUGGGGGAGACUGAGGACUGCAGCUCGCCUUUUGGCCGGGGUUCGCCCACGUUCGAGCUUAGGAUGUUGACAUAAUGGCUU
This 285-nucleotide ribosomal RNA is filed under the name Apiotrichum brassicae. RNAcentral describes it as "partial large subunit ribosomal RNA". It matches the Rfam family "Eukaryotic large subunit ribosomal RNA", at positions 360 to 640 of the family's 3401-position model. Lineage: Eukaryota; Fungi; Basidiomycota; Tremellomycetes; Trichosporonales; Trichosporonaceae. The record is from RNAcentral.